RNAcentral lists this ribosomal RNA (484 nucleotides) under uncultured bacterium. Its description in RNAcentral is "partial 16S ribosomal RNA". It matches the Rfam family "Bacterial small subunit ribosomal RNA", at positions 30 to 507 of the family's 1533-position model. The record is from RNAcentral.
AUUGAACGCUGGCGGAAUGCUUUACACAUGCAAGUCGAGCGGCAGCACGGGGGCAACCCUGGUGGCGAGCGGCGAACGGGUGAGUAAUACAUCGGAACAUGCCCAGUCGUGGGGGAUAACACUUCGAAAGAAGUGCUAAUACCGCAUACGUCCUGAGGGGGAAAGCGGGGGAUCGCAAGACCUCGCGCGAUUGGAGUGGCCGAUGUCAGAUUAGCUAGUUGGUGGGGUAAAGGCCUACCAAGGCAACGAUCUGUAGCUGGUCUGAGAGGAUGAUCAGCCACACUGGGACUGAGACACGGCCCAGACUCCUACGGGAGGCAGCAGUGGGGAAUUUUGGACAAUGGGGGCAACCCUGAUCCAGCCAUCCCGCGUGAGUGAAGAAGGCCUUCGGGUUGUAAAGCUCUUUCGGCAGGAACGAAACGGUGAGCUCUAACAUAGCUUGCUAAUGACGGUACCUGAAGAAGAAGCACCGGCUAACUACGUG